This 459-nucleotide ribosomal RNA is filed under the name uncultured bacterium. RNAcentral describes it as "partial 16S ribosomal RNA". It matches the Rfam family "Bacterial small subunit ribosomal RNA", at positions 338 to 795 of the family's 1533-position model. The record is from RNAcentral.
CCUACGGGAGGCAGCAGUGAGGAAUAUUGGUCAAUGGCCGGGAGGCUGAACCAGCCAAGUCGCGUGAGGGAAGACGGCCCUACGGGUUGUAAACCUCUUUUGUCAGGGAGCAAGGUGCAGGUCGGGACCUGCUGUGAGAGUACCUGAAGAAAAAGCAUCGGCAAACUCCGUGCCAGCAGCCGCGGUAAUAAGGAGGAUGCGAGCGUUAUCCGGAUUUAUUGGGUUUAAAGGGUGCGCAGGCGGAGGCACAAGUCAGCGGUAAAAUCGCGGGGCUCAACCCCGCUCCGCCGUUGAAACUGUGUGCCUUGAGUGCGCGAAGGGUAGGCGGAAUGCGUGGUGUAGCGGUGAAAUGCAUAGAUACCACGCAGAACUCCGAUCGCGAAGGCAGCCUACCGGCGCGCAACUGACGCUCAUGCACGAAAGCGUGGGUAUCGAACAGGAUUAGAUACCCGGGUAGUC